This 52-nucleotide microRNA precursor is filed under the name Equus asinus (donkey). RNAcentral describes it as "mir-1302 microRNA precursor family". It matches the Rfam family "mir-1302 microRNA precursor family". The record is from Rfam by way of RNAcentral. Lineage: Eukaryota; Metazoa; Chordata; Mammalia; Perissodactyla; Equidae. RNAcentral also lists the same sequence under 1 other name.
UUUUUAAUCUAAGUAUGUCCCAUGCAAUAUUUGGGACAUACUUAUACUAGAA